GCUGUGGAACUCCUACGGGAGGCAGCAGUGGGGAAUUUUGGACAAUGGGGGCAACCCUGAUCCAGCAAUGCCGCGUGAGUGAAGAAGGCCUUAGGGUUGUAAAGCUCUUUUACCCGUGAUGAUAAUGACAGUAGCGGGAGAAUAAGCCCCGGCUAACUCCGUGCCAGCAGCCGCGGUAAUACGGAGGGGGCUAGCGUUGUUCGGAAUUACUGGGCGUAAAGCGCACGUAGGCGGCUUUGUAAGUUAGAGGUGAAAGCCUGGAGCUCAACUCCAGAACUGCCUUUAAGACUGCAUCGCUUGAGUCCAGGAGAGGUGAGUGGAAUUCCGAGUGUAGAGGUGAAAUUCGUAGAUAUUCGGAAGAACACCAGUGGCGCAGGCGGCUCACUGGACUGGUAUUGACGCUGAGGUGCGAGAGCGUGGGGAGCAAACAGGAUUAGAAACCCCGGUAGUCCUACCACGU
RNAcentral lists this ribosomal RNA (460 nucleotides) under uncultured bacterium. Its description in RNAcentral is "bacterial SSU rRNA". It matches the Rfam family "Bacterial small subunit ribosomal RNA", at positions 327 to 800 of the family's 1533-position model. The record is from RNAcentral.